Rattus norvegicus (Norway rat) is the source of this 3318-nucleotide long non-coding RNA. RefSeq lists it as uncharacterized. Lineage: Eukaryota; Metazoa; Chordata; Mammalia; Rodentia; Muridae. The record is from RefSeq and is a predicted model, not a curated record.
UUUGAAACAGCCCUUUCCUUGAUACCUGGGGAGUCUGAAACAGCCCUUUCCUUGAUACCUGGGGAGUCUGAAACAGCCCUUUCCUUCCCGGACUCACAGGUAUCAAGCUUCUGGGAUGGUGUUUUCUUUGUGUGAAGGCUCUGCCAGGCUAGAAUUUAUGGUACUAAGCAGGUGACUGGAUGCGGCUUAUUUUAAAAUUACCUCUUCAUUCAUGCUCCAUGAAAGCACCAAGAAACACCAUCCGUUGGGUUUUAAAUCUGGUCCUCAGCUGCUGUUUCCAAUUCCUGGCGUUGCCGUUAAAUCCUAGCUCCAGCAUAAUUCCCCGAUUGACAGUCUCAUGUCAAGGCCAAAAAGAAGCACACGGAACUAUCAGGUCUCUAGCCUCCGUGUCAUAGGACAAGGUUCCCUGAAGAAACCAAUGACUGAACCCACUUGCUACCCAUCCUGAGCAGAGACGGACACCAUGAAAUCUCCCUUGUCGGUUUUAAAGGAUGUGGAUCAAACUGCUUCUUGUGCAUUUUACUUAAUAAUGCAGAUGCCUAAUCUCUCCCUUUGGCUUAAGCCUACCUUGUCUCACUGUGUACUAGGAAAAGGAGGAGAAAAUAAAAGAAAAAGCCAAUGCAGUGGGGCCUGCAGGAGAGAGGGUGUAGACUCCUCAAAUGAUCACAACUGCGUGAUUGUCCUGGGUACACGUCUUUGAUAGCCUGCCAUUUGUCCCCACUCACCUAGAGAGCCUGUGGAUGGCCUGAGAGGUUUGUGAGCGUGUGUGCGUUUUAACAAAUUUUCAAAAGUUGCCAUGGGGAGAGGAUAGCAAGAAAGCUCUUCAAAAAAGAAAAUUAUUUUCACAGCAUCAUCACAAGAAAAACACCUGUGCAAUAGAUAUCUCUGAAGGUCGGCUGCAAUCUGAACUAAUUGGGAGGGAAGGGGAGAGCUCUCUGUUUGCUCACCUCCAGUAAUGGGCCUUGGAGAAGUGAUCGGUAGCCAAACACUUCGUGCAAUGACUGGUUUGGACACUCUAAACAAAAAGGAAGACUUCUCCAAGCUGCUUCUUGUUCGUGUCACUGAGAGAGGUCACCACCUGCCUUCAUCCACUAGUCACUUCUGAUCACUGGGUAGAGAUUCUGUUACAGAAGUUAUCUCCUGUCGCAAGGACAUCAAUCUCUCCCGACCCCCAGCAUAAGAGGGGACUUGGAGGCAAGAAGAUGAUCUCAAAUCCUCGAGAUCACAGCCAAGGAACAUUAUUUAGAGGCUGUGACUGAAAAUCAACGCCAAUCUGGGUGAAGGUACUACAUUAAGCCAAUAACAGACAACAAGCCUGUGACUGUUUUGUAUGAUGAUGAGAUUGGCCGAAGCCCCACUGCUGUGAGGAGGAAGGGAGCAUGAUCCGGGGAGAGCCUGCACUGCUCUUUGAAGAGUGUCUGUUGUGAUUGCUAGCUGCUUUCCACAGAUCCUUGCUGAAUAUUAUGCCAUUAAACAGUGUGAAAGAAAAAUCAAAAUAUAUGUUUACUGGGUACUAAAUAGUAAGUGCCUUUCAAAUGCUCUUUAAUGGACAGACUUUAAAGUCAUCGUAGAGCACCCUCACAAUCCAAGAGCAGCGUGCUCCUCUCUGUAAAACACCUCGAGGGGCUGACGAGGGCUGACUAUGAAGUGUAACCGCCCUGCAACUCUGGUCCCUUAAAGGCGUCCAUCUUUAGAGAGUGGAAAUGCUUUCAGCCAUACAUACUGGUCUAUAGUUUUCAUGGAAAAACUGGUGAUCUCUCAGUCGUAUUUUCUCAGAAAUGGAGUGACAGUCAGUGAGCCGUUUAACAUAACAGAUAGACACACCUCCUCAGGGACCCAGGGAGGGAGGGAGUUUGUGUGUGCAGGUAUUUAGAACCAUAUACCAGGGUUUAAGCGCUACAGAAGACUUGUGGUGCGAAAUAUAGAAAUGAUCGAAUACAUUUAUACAUGUGCAGUUUCAGAACGUCUCUGAACACGGUGCAUCUUUAGUGCUGUGACUCUGACUUCUGUAGAAGAUCAGGACUCUGACUUCUGAAGAUCAGGAUGAAAUCGAAGGCACUGCGGACCUCAGUACCUCACAGAGGGUGAUCACAAAUCAGUAGCAGAAAAAAAAUAGGUGAUAUCUCAUAGUUGAAAUUAAAGGAUGAAUGAUUAACUCUCUAGGAAAGCCUAAUGUUGAAUCCGUAUCUCAUUUCUUUGGGGAAAGCUCAAGAGUUAAGAAGUAAACUUUAAAGAUGCCACCAAACAGUAGAAAAACACAUGGGAACAUCCUUUAUAUUUUUGGUGCAAAAGGAAAGACAAAAGCCACAAAUAUAGAAGAAAACACUUUAUGACUCUAUCAAGUCAGGUAUUUAGCCUAGAAGGAGCUCAAGCAUUCAAGAGACAGAUGACGAAUUGGAGGAAAAAAAAUUGCAACACAUAACACAAUCAAAAUAUACAAUUUCCAAAACAUGAAAAUCAACACUCCUCAAGAAAUAAGAAUAAAAUAUCUAUAAAAAGGACUAACUUAAAACGACUCUACAGGUCAAAAAGUGACAUCACUAACAAUGAGCUUAAAUAAUGACAAAAUACUGUUUCUUGCUGUCAGACCAGCAAAACUUCAAAAGUUUAAUUUAUCCGUGGUGGGUAAGGACGGAAAGGAGGAGCUAUCGGCGGCGCUGAGGGAGUGCGGAUUGGAAUAAACCUCCACAGAAGGGAGUUUAACAAUUUUCAUCAAAAUUACAAAUGCAAAUAUACUCUUUAACCUAGAAAUUUCAGUUCUGGGAUUUUAUCAUUCACAUAUUUUUGCAUAUAUAAGACGCAGAAAUUACACGCGUUUAUUUAUAAAAGGGAUGUAUGGAGGACAGCCCCAAUGGCCACCAAAGGGUCGAACCAAAGAAACUACAGUGCACCCACAUGGUGCAGUGCUGUGCUGUUGUAAAAGAAGAAAGGGAAACAGAAAGAUGGAUGUGCUCUGGUACAAAGUUACUAUUAAAUAUAACGUUAUGGAGAAGCAGCACCCAGCCGCGUGAACAGUAUGACGCCAAGUGCAUAAAGAAAGUAAGCUAAGACUUAUGUUAGCGUUUUCAAGUCUUGCACAAGGAAACUGUGGGAACCCACAAGAACAAACAAACAAAUAAAACCCCUAAGAGACAGAGGGCAUGGAGAAGAGAAAGCUGGACGGACAGGUUUCAAACAAAGAAAGAAAUAUUUUCACAGGAAACCUUUUUAAUCCUUUCUGUUUUCGAGUAAUAUUUUCACUAAAUGUUACCCGCUUAAAGCUAUGCAGAACUUACUUAAUUAAAUGAAAUAGCUAAAUAAAAACUAUAUCAUUCCAAA